AUUAUUAUUUUUUAAUAGUUAUUUCCCCAAUACAAUUUUUUUCUACUGUACAGCAUGGUGCCAGUUAUACAUACAUGUACACAUUCUAUUUUUGCACAUUAUCAUGCACCAUCAUAAGUGACUAGACAGAGUUCCCAGUGCUACACAGCAGGAUCUCACUGCUAAUCCAUUCCAAAGGCAAUAGUUUGUAUCUAUUAACCCCAAGCUCUCUAAGCACCCCACUCUCUCCUCUUCCCCCUUGGCAACCACAAGUCUAUUCUCCAAGUCCAUGAUUUUCUUUUCUGUGGAAAGGUUCAUUUGCGCUGUAUAUUAGAUUCCAGAUAUAAGUGAUAUCAUAUGGUAUGUGUCUUUAUCUUUCUGACUUACUUCACUCAGUAUGAGAUUCUCUAGUUCCAUCCAUGUUGCUGCAAAUGGCAUUAUUUUGUUCUUUUUUAUGGCUGAGUAGUAUUCCAUUGUGUAUAUACCAUAUCUUCCUAAUCCAAUCUUCUGUCGAUGGACAUUUGGGUUGUUUCCAUGUCAUGGCUAUUGUGAAUAGAGCUGCAAUGAACAUGCGGGUGCAUGUGAGGACACACCAUUUUUAUUGUUUUGGUUUUUUUUUUCUGUCUUUUUAGGGCUGCACCUGCAGCAUAUGAAAGUUCCUGGGCUAGGGACUGAACCAGAGCUGCAGCUGCCAGCCUGCGCCACAGCCACGGCAAUGCCGGAUCUGAGCCGCAUCUGUGACCUACAUUGCAGCUCAUAGCAAUGCUGGACCCUUAACCCACUGAGUGGGGCCAGGGAUCAAAUCCGCAUCUUCAAAGAUCCUAGUCAGGUUUGUUAGCCACAGUGGGAACGCCAGCAUGUGCAGUUUUUAAUGUUGUUUUUCACCCUUCUUAUCUCAAGAUCUAUAUGUCCUAGAAAAGCAUGAUUGGAAGGCUUUGUUGUUACUGAGCAUGCUGCUCUUCCAGAGAAUCUGCAUAAAAAGAUCGUCUGGGUCUUCCAAGAAGCAGCGGCUAAGGGGCAGAUUAAACAUGCCAGGACUUAAUAGGGGAAUUGCCAGUGACAAGCCAUGUGUAGGCAGCUGGCGUGGCUGGGAGUGUCAAUGUGAGAGGGACCCCAAACAGAGCGAAGAGGAAAGAAGUUUGGGCAGAUGUAUCCUAGGGGGCCCUGCAGGAUACAGAGCUUGACGCAGGUGGUCAGGGAGUCCUGGAGUGAAAGUCAGCUGUCAGAGGCGUUCUAUGGCACCCAGGAGCAGGCCUGCCUUGGAGCUGCGGCUGUGGACAGUCAACGGUCAGGCCCAGCCUAAAGACCAUGUGCACCAGGAGCCGGAUCUCUGAUCACAGCAGCUGGGGUAGUUUCGCUCCCUGUAGUUGGAGGUCUUUGAGGUGCAUUUUCAUGGGCACCCCAGGAGAAAUGGUCACUAACUGCUGCAGGAUCUCCUGCAGAGACCUCUGGCAGCUGGAGAGGGGAGAGAGGCUGCCUGUGGAAACCUGGGGCUGACCCCGCCCCAACAACUCCCUCAGAUGUAAACAUGCACUAUGAACGCACAUUUCCUGUGGGAGACCUAUGGAUUCUGAAAGGCACAAAUAGAUACUUCUCUGCAAAACAGUGCACAUCAGAGAAAAUCCCUCAAGUUCUGUGUGCUUGGGCUGCUGGCAUGGGGCCCCCUCUGUCACGUUGACCUGGUUCCUCACAGCCAGCUCCUAAGCAGAGGGGAUGGCUAGUAAUUCCUUUGGAGAGGAAAAACGUCUUAUAGGCAGGGGUGGUUGAAGAGUUGAGGAGGAGAAAGAAGAGGAAGGAAGAAAAGGCAAGAAGGGCAGAGAGAGAGAGAAAGUCAAGAGUUUCUGAUUCACAUUCAGUCCUCUGUUCUGUGCUCUUCCUAAAGCAGAGAAAAAUCCAGGAGAGCCCAGUUAGCUCAGUCAAAUUCCCCCAGAGGGAGGUGACAUUGGCAGCUGGAGGCAGGAACCCUCCCCACGAGGUUAGAGUCAAGUAGAGGCAAUGGCUCUGGCGAGGUCAGUGGGGGCUUCGCAGAGCAGCUGCAGAGACGGUCCUUCAGCACAGGAACCCACGCUCCAUGGGAGGCGUAGAGCCGAGGGGAGGACGGGCCUUCCACAGGGUGGAAACUGGAUAAGGCUGCGAUGGAGGGGAAGAACCCAGAGCCAGAGCGGGAGCAGCUGCCCCCAGACAGUGCCCUGCUCAGUAGGGGCUCGGCGAGGACCUUGCAAUUCAUUCAACACAGAGUUAUGGGCCCUCUGUUCAUCCUUAUGGCUGACACAGGGGACCCAAUUCAGCGAGAGCAAAAAUAGAAGUCCUUCUUGCCCAUGUGGGGCUACGUUUUAGUUGGGGAGACACACGAAUGAAAUAAUCCUCGAAUAAGUGUCAGAUAGUGACCAUGGUAAGUGCUCUGAAGGGGGAUGGGCAUUGGUGCCAUGGAAAAAUACAACAGAGAGAUUUGGUUUAUUCCAGAAAGUCAGAAAAUUUCCCCUGAGGAAGUGACUGCCAGCUGAGAUCUGAAGCGUCAGACAGCCUUAAACUUGCACAAAGAAGGCAAAGUAGUGCAAGCAAAGAAAGCACAUACCUACGCAUUGGCCCUUUGCUGGGAGGAGAAACGGUGCCUGAGAGACUGAAAUAGAGAGGGCAGCUGGGGUGGGAGGCACAGCCAGACCAGAGGGUGGAGGUGCAGCAAGGGCAAGGUUAAGGUCUAGCAGGUCAUUUUAGGGUCUUCGUUUUUGUCCCAGGAACAGGAGGAAGCAAUUGAAAGGCCUUAAAGUGGAGAAGUAAUAGGAUGAGAUUGGCAUUCUGAAAAAGAAAAAAAUGCUAGUUGCAAUGUGGAGCUGAAGUGGAGAAGGCGAGAGAAAAUGCAUGCAGAAGAACUGGUGCAAGAGAUGCCUGUGACCCUGACGGGAGGGUAGUGAAGGGGAUUCAAGAGAUGAUCAGAGGAAAACAUCGCAAUGAGUUGGCAAUGACUUAGACAUGGGCUGAGAGAACAGGAGUGGACCUGGGUUCCCUGCUUACACAUGGAAUGGGUGGGGAAGCCUUUGCUGAGAGGGGGGCACUGCAGAAGGCCCAGGCUUGGGAUGGAGGUGGGAGAUGUUCCUGUGAGACAUCCAGGAAGAAAUAGCAAGCAGGCAACUGCAUCCACAUCCCUCGUUUCUGACAAGUCAGCAUGAUGAGUUAGCUUCUGUUGCAUUCUGUUGCACUAGCCUUGGGAUGAGCUUAUGGGGAGGGAGAGGCACUGGGGAAGGGAGUCAGUGGGGUGGGUGUGUGGGUGUUUGCAACUCCUUGCCCCUCCCUCCAGAGCAACAGGGGCAGCUCUUUACCCUGGGUACUUGAGCCAGGCUGUGGAAGAAUUUCUGACACUACCUGAACAAGGCUUCAAAGAACCCAUAGCAAAGGAUCAGAGAAGACCCAGGAGGGGGCUCUUAAGUCUCCUACAGAAGGAAGUUCUGGGGCCUCAUGUUUGUCCUUCAUGCUCCGAAUGUGAGCUACCCGUAGUCGAACAGCACUGUUGAACUUCGCUGGGAUUUGGUUUCCUGGGAACCCAGAAAAGCACAGCAUGUUCCUGUGCGUGGAAGCAGUGUUAUCUUUGGCUUGGCCUGAGGUGGCCCCGGCGAGAAGAGUCCAGAUGGUGCUCCUGCCACCUGGAGGACAAAAGCGGGGACGUAGCCUGGCCCUCCUGUUUUUUCCCCCACAGUCUGGGGAUACAGAUAGAUGCUCCAUGGGGGAAACAACGAACUGGCUUCCCCACGAAGUCAUACCAAUCAGUAUCAACAGGUUCAACAAGCGUUUCCAGGAAGUUGGGCAUGGGCACCAAUGUAUUCCUGAGAGCCUGGGGGAAACUGGACCCCCUUCUGCCAUAAAACACCCCUGGUGCUACUAUCAGAAAGGGAAUAAUGGGUGGGUGAGCCCAGGGUCUGUCUGAUUGGUCGGUUUUUAUACUUCCUUAGAUGUUGUUGGAACUCUUCCCACCAGGCAACAGGGGCAGACUUAAUCCCCUGAAUUUGGUGGAAGGAAUUAAGGAUGAUGCCUCAGCUCCUGCAUCUCCUUUUCUGGGGUCCAGUUAUUUGCAUGAAGCAUGAAUUGAGCAUCUGCUCAAGAGUUUAGCAGGAAAGACUCUGCCUCUCAAAGGAGUUCUCCCUGUGGCACAGCAGAAGCGAAUCCGACUAGGAUCCAUGAGGUUGAGGGUUCGAUCCCUGGCCUCUCUCAGUUGGUUAAGGAUCCAGCAUUGCCAUGAGCUGUGGUGUAGGUUGCAGAUGAGGCUCAGAUCUGGUGUUGCUGGCCUCUGGCAUAGGCCGGCAGCUACAGCCCUGAUUAGACCGCUAGCCUGGGAACCUCCAUAUGCCGCGGGUGUGGCCCUAAAAAGACAAAAAGUCAAAAAAAAAAAAUUCUAUAGCACAGUUUUAGGAAACCCAUCUGGUCUUCCUACUACUAAACUUUGCUUUCUUUAUCAGCUUUAUCAAUACUAAAGGUAACUUUAAGAAAAUCUCCAUCUGCCCACUUUUCAUGUCUAUGUUGAGCAAAGAACAGGGGUGUCACUACUGGGCCCCUUAAAACUCCAGCAUAUUCAGAAGACUCUUGAGAAUAUCAACCCUACGGGAUCUUUCUAGGCUUAAAAUGAAGCAUCCUUCCAGCUUCACCCUCCUGAGAGACGUGAGUUUACCCUUCCAGCUGCUGUAUCUACUAUGAACUGGUACAAAUAUAUAAUGGAUAUCUUUUUUUCAUCAAUAAGUGUGAAUUAGCUAUAUAGCUAUCACAGUGCAGGGACAACUGAGGAAAUAAUGAUUUUGUGCCCUUCCCUGCACUCACAGCCUGGCCAGACAGAGCUAUUUUCCAUUUGCUCCUCCAAAUCCAUUUCUCCCUUUCUUCAUACUGCCAGACACCCACCGCAGGAGGCUGGCCCAUAGGGAUUGCAUCCAUGGACUCCAGUUGAGUUCAGUCAAUGGAAGUCACUGGAAAGAGGUGAGAGGGUGACAAAGAGGUGAGAAUAUUUUUGACCUCAGUCUCUGCUGUUCUGGUCCUGUUCCCCUACUGAUGGUCAGACCAUCAGAGGGCUCCUCUCCCACGUUACAGCUCUCACUAACUUCCAGAAACUCCACGUCCUCUUCUGCCCCUUCAGGCUGAGGGGCAGUAAUGACUGCUCACUAUCCUUAGAUCCUUGGUGCUUCACCAUCCCUUCUUUUUUCUUCCUUCUAGAAAGCCUCAAACACCUCCCCCCACU
RNAcentral lists this long non-coding RNA (5194 nucleotides) under Sus scrofa (pig). Its description in RNAcentral is "lncRNA (ENSSSCG00000060664.1, ENSSSCG00090004334.1)". The record is from RNAcentral. Lineage: Eukaryota; Metazoa; Chordata; Mammalia; Artiodactyla; Suidae.